UACAGAGAAGAUUAGCAUGGCCUCUGCACAAGGAUGACAUGCAAAUUCAUGAAGUGCUCUCUAUUUAA
This 68-nucleotide small nuclear RNA is filed under the name Sus scrofa (pig). Lineage: Eukaryota; Metazoa; Chordata; Mammalia; Artiodactyla; Suidae. The record is from RNAcentral.